AGUCAAGGGGAUUAUAACACCCCACGGCGCAAGGAAAGUGAUUUUGCUUCAUGCGGGCUGAUCCGUUACUUUUUCGAAUGUAGCGGCGCAAGCCCAGGGCUCGCUCUUGGUGGCGAGUACCUGGAGCACGCAUGAUAGGACCCGAAAGAUGGUGAUCUAUGCCUGGCGAGGACGAAGCCAGAGGAAACUUUGGUGGAAGUCCGUAGCGUUUCUGACGUGCAAAUCGAUCGCAGGAGCUUGGUAUAGGGGCGAAAGACCAAUCGAACCAUC
This 270-nucleotide ribosomal RNA is filed under the name Limnoria sp. CCB-2004. RNAcentral describes it as "partial 28S ribosomal RNA". It matches the Rfam family "Eukaryotic large subunit ribosomal RNA", at positions 689 to 944 of the family's 3401-position model. The record is from RNAcentral. Lineage: Eukaryota; Metazoa; Arthropoda; Malacostraca; Isopoda; Limnoriidae.